UCCUACGGGGGGCAGCAGUGAGGAAUAUUGGUCAAUGGUCGGGAGACUGAACCAGCCAAGCCGCGUGAGGGAUGAAGGUACAGAGUAUCGUAAACCUCUUUUGUCAGGGAACAAAGGCGGGGACGUGUCCCCGGAUGAGUGUACCUGAAGAAAGAGCAUCGGCUAACUCCGUGCCAGCAGCCGCGGUAAUACGGAGGAUGCGAGCGUUAUCCAGAUUUAUUGGGUUUAAAGGGUGCGCAGGCGGUCUGUUAAGUCAGCGGUCAAAGCCCGGGGCUCAACCCCGGCCCGCCGUUGAAACUGGCAGG
RNAcentral lists this ribosomal RNA (305 nucleotides) under uncultured bacterium. RNAcentral describes it as "bacterial SSU rRNA". It matches the Rfam family "Bacterial small subunit ribosomal RNA", at positions 337 to 640 of the family's 1533-position model. The record is from RNAcentral.